Salvelinus fontinalis (brook trout) is the source of this 457-nucleotide long non-coding RNA. RefSeq lists it as uncharacterized. Lineage: Eukaryota; Metazoa; Chordata; Actinopteri; Salmoniformes; Salmonidae. The transcript is spliced from 3 exons. The record is from RefSeq and is a predicted model, not a curated record.
GGGUUCUUGCAGAAACCUAACUGCCCAACUGAAACAUUUGGAUUUGAAUUUGAAAGGACAGCAGGUGCAGGCACUUAACUGAAAAAUGAAAAUGAACACAAUUCAAUGGAUAUCAAUCAACAAAGAGGUAAGAGUAUGUAGGCUAUAAGAAUAUGUUGAAGGCUAGCUGUAUUGGGCGCAGAUGACUGUGGGUGCAGAUGACUUCAGAUCACAUGCACCAUCCUCCUCCCUUACCUCUUCAAUGAAUAUCCCAUAGGCCUCUACAUUAUGGACAAGACUUCACCCUCCCUACACCUCUGAUGAAUAAAACAGGAAACAUGUUCAUUCACCAUGCACUGCAAAAUCAUUCUGGCUAUGAAUAUGGAGAACAUCAACACGCCAGAGGAUAUACCCUUUGGACUUUGGGCUCUGCUGCGAGAUUACCUCAUAUUUAGAUUUUUCUUUGUCACAAAUCAUA